This 2668-nucleotide long non-coding RNA is filed under the name Pelobates cultripes (western spadefoot toad). Lineage: Eukaryota; Metazoa; Chordata; Amphibia; Anura; Pelobatidae. The record is from RNAcentral.
AUAAGAUUUAUAUAAUGAUUAUUAUUAACACAUAAUUACUCAUUAAAGCCAUUAAAACAUUAAAAGUAAAUUAUCAUUUCCCCCUCUGCAGAGAAGACCAAGAAGUAAAAGGAUUCUCAUAUAUGGAAAUAAGCUUGUGAUAAAGCACAAAUUUGAAGAAUAUAAACCAGUCUCGUAUCAAGAAAAUGUUUUGUUGGAAUAGGUGGGAUUUAAAAAAAAAAAAAAGCAAAAAAGAAGAAAAAUGAUAUAUAAUAUAUACAUAUAUAUAUAUAUAGAAAUAUAUAACUAUAAAAAGGAAACAUUUGCACAGUAUGACUGUCAUACACAAAUGAAGUCUUGAAUACUCAUUUUUGUUCUGUACUUACAUUGUUUUCUUACCAAGACUUUGCAGAAGUGCCUAAAUUUUGCCAGUACAUCAAACGCAAAAACACCGAGACUGAUGUCAGCUCCCCAGUUUCCACUAUUCAGAGAUUUUUUUCCAACCUGCAAUCACAGGUUAACUACAUAGCAUCAGAGGAGGAGUUUUCUUAGAUAAUCGAAUGUACAAAAGAAUUUAUCAGUCACACAAAACUUGACGGUGACUCUAAUCUAUGUUAUUAAACAUUUUUAAGUAUAGUAAGAGUUUUAUGUUGACCCAGUCUUGUGCGCUAGAGGCCUGCAAUAUUUUGCAGAGCAAUGGUUUGCAGGCCCCUUACCGCCAAACCUCUCUGUUGCUAAUAUAAGAAAGCUAUAUAUAGUUUUGCUUAGAGCGUUUAGCUACCGAGAGGUUUAAAUGGGUUCCUAGUGUUAUACUUUUUUAUUGUUGGAUUUUAGAGGGUUGUAACAGGAUUACAGCACAAGGAAAAGAAAACAUCUUUUAAAACAUAUUUUAUGGCUCAAAAACCGCGAAGAGUUCUUGCUUAUAAUUAAAUACAGAGAAAUACUUUAUGGAUAGAACAGAUAUUGAUGUUUACUUUUACAGUAGGCUGUUGAUUUAAAAUGGUUAUGUCUGUACAUUUAAUAUGUAAUUUAGUUCAAGAUUUUUUUUUUUCAAGCACUAUUGUACCAAAUAUUUCAUGUUUCUAUGUUGCACAUUUGUCACAUGAAGUGAGUUGUUGCUGAAUUAUGGUUAUGAAAAGAGAACAGCUGUUAUACAGGAAUAGUAUACUUAAGUGUUAGAAGUCUGUUUAUUUUUUUUUUCUCUUGUAAAACAAUAUUAGUGAUUGCAGUAUUUUAAGAAAAUUUUGAAAGUUGAAUGUAAACUAUUUUUAACGUGAGCAGCCUGCUCUAAAGGAAGGCGCUGUAAAUCUAUAUAAAUUGGUAAUCAGGAAAAGAUUCUGCCUUUAUUUUUGUUUAUUUUUUAAUAUAAAAUAUGUUUUAUUUGUACUCAUAUAUUGAUACAGCAGAUCUGAUUACUCAACACAAGUUAAUCAAAAUUCACGUGAUAGUGUAUUUUAAGUACAAGAUACAUUUAAAGAAAAUCUAUUGCCUUAUUUUAAAAUCUGUAAUAUCAAAUGUUCUACUUUUUGCGUGUUCAAUUUGUACGUUGGUUAAAUUCUUUUUGAGUGUAUAACCUUAGUACAGCACCUGUCCUCAGCUAGCCAAACAGCUGUAACGUAUGUCACACACAUCACUAAGAACUCGCCUGCUAUAGGUAUUGCUGCAAAUUCACCUUUAGUACGCAGCCUGCCAAGAGAACCUAUGGCAUUUUCAGCUCUUCUAACUUCCCAAACCCACACUCCAGGAUUUCCUCUUAUGACCUCCUGUGUCUAUAGCUAUGAAUAAAUAAACAGAAAAUGGAUUGUUAAAAAAAAAAAAAAAUCUACUCAAUAUUUUAUAUUACAGAUUAUUUAAAAGGUGAUAGUUUAAAGAUUUUUAACCUGCCUAAACAGGUUGUAUCAUCAAACACCUAUGUUACGUCCUCUUAUUCUCUGAUCUAAAGUUCUAAGGUUACAAAUGGAUGGUCAACGUUCCAAUUUUUUUUUUUAUUCAGCAUUUGAAUGACCUUUGAUCUUUGUGUUUUUUUGUAUUUUUCUUUUUAUAACGUCCCUGCAUUAAGUAGUCUAUAAAAUAAGGAAUAAGAAAGUUAAUGCUUCUGUUAUAGUAGAGCAGAGGCAUCAUAGUGAAUUUGUGAAAAUGUUAAAUGGCAGGAGAAAGCCGUCUUUGAGAGCUCGGAAUAUAACAGAGCAUGACUACCAAUACAGUUGACUGAUAACCAGCCAUAGUUUGCAUCCGAAUACUUAAGUCUACAAUGCUGAAGCAAUAUUGUAACUCCCUACAAUCUGAAUUGGUUUGUCACUGUUGUUUAUAGCACUGGUGCUCUACAGGUGGUUGAUGCCAAUGUGUAUCUUCCAUUUAUAGUCAGCCUGCCACAAAUUUAUUAUAUUCAAACACCAUACUUUACAUUUGUACUUAACUUCAGUUACGAAGGGGUUUACAACCCAAAACCUUCAAAGAACCAAAAGGGUUACUAAAUGACUAGGUGUUUGUAAAUUGUAUAACUAAAAAACAAGACCGGCACCAAAAUCACUGAACGAAAUCUGGUAUUGAUACUAAAUUGGUGAAUUUACUACAUUCUCAAGCAAAGAAGAAAAUGGAUACACUUUGGAUCUGCUUCUUCAAGGUCUUCUCUUUGUAUGGGGAUGUAAAAUAUUGCAGAAAGUUUAAUAAAUUAUUUUGGUGCAGGAGU